GUCUGGCAGCCCUGCCGCCGAGUCCCGACCUCCUGCAUGCUGUGUGGACUCUCUUUUCUCUACCUCACCACUCACGCAUGCUGCUCUGCCCUCCUCCAUAAAAAUGGAUGAAACAGGAGCAUGCUGGGCAUGAGGAAUACAGAGUAGUGGCCCCGGGAACACUAGGAUGCCUGUUCUUUCAGUCCAUACUGCUGGCCUGGGACAAACUCCAGCAGCAGCAGGCAGGUGUGAAGGAACUGGCCACCUGGUCGCCUGCAUUCUCUCCAGCCCGGGGCCCUUUCCCACGCCCAGCCUGCCAGCUCUCUCCAGCCUCCACAGGCGGCCUUCCUCACCACCCUCAGUGCACCUGGAUCAAAGAAAGGCAGAGAUGCCCACAUGGGACUGCAUACAGUUCUCCAAAAUUCUCCCUUCUCUUGCAUUCAGCAGAGACAUCCCACAGUUAUUAAAUGCCUUAAAUAUGGAUAUCACCAGUGCCACCCAGGAAAAGGAUGGUUUCUCACGGAAGACUCGCCAUCUCCCAGUGAGCACAGCGUGGGUGUUGGCAUGAUUCCUUUGGCCAUGCUCCUGAAAUCCACUGCCUUCAAAAGCCCACAAAACUGCCCUUACGAAGCAGUCGCAGCAGUUCAGAGACCAUGCCCACCCCACACCUCCCUGCAAGCCUGGCCUCUUCACGGACCUAGGCCAUCCCGACCUUCAGGGAAUGUGGUAAUAGAGUCUAUGGCCCGCCUGUGGGGACUGGUGACCUCCAGAUGUGCAUGCUUCAAAAGAAUUACUAGAAGACAAAAGUGAAAAAGAGAAACUCAGGCAUCUUGCAUGUUUGCUAAAUAAAUCAAUAAGCAAAUAAAUGAUUGAGUGAAAGAGUGGGCUCUGCAAUGUGAUGGUGGAGCAGGAUUUAAACGGUGGAAACAGAGAGGGUCACUUCUCCACAAAAUAGCACCAUGGAGUUUUUCUUGUUUUUUUGCUUUUUUUUUUUUUUUUGCAAAAUCCCUUGGCUAUGCCCCUGAAAUCCGCUGCCUUUGAGAGCAGAAAUCUGGCUGUUGUGUGUGUGCAUGUGUGCCCUGGGCUCUGCCUCCUCGUACAGGCACCUAUUGAUUGAGGGAGGGAAUUACCGUUUUUUUCUGCACUAUCCUUCCUCCCCCAACCCGGGGGCUGUGAUCUCAGCAUAUUAAUGGCUAAGAAGACAAAACAGUGGUUUAAUUAGUGCUGUAAGAAGCCCAGGGCUAAUAGGAACCAGAGAAUAUUUAGUUCUGGGUGUUCUGGGUGAUCUUUUCUUGCCAAAAAGCUGUCCCUUUCCCAACCAGGCAAAGGGACCGGCUGGUGUGUGUGUCGCUAAUUACAGCAGUGACUCAGGCGCUAGACAGCCCUGUGACUUCUGAAGAAGGAAGGCACAGCCCUGUGGGCGUCGGGGAACACAAGCAGGUGUUGUAAGUAAGAAGUACCAGGUCCAAAUCUGAAAUGGGCAGUGGAGAAAGGAAGGAGCUCUAGAAAACAAAGAAUCAUUACUCAGAAAAUGGCCAAACGCUUCAACAUUCUGUUCCUUUGCUGAGUGAUGGGUCACCCUCAGUAUCCCCAUUUGGGGUUCAGAAAAUACCAACAUAGUAGAGUUAGGGGAUACUCCUGCCUCCUCUCUCAUAAGGCCUAUCUCAGAAUAGUUUUUCAUUCAUGGUGGCUGUUUUUAAGCAAGCAAUACUUCUCUCUCUUCUCUAUUCUGUUACUUAUGGGCAUCCUCAGCUUACUUUAGAUUUUAUGCAGUCUUGGAUUUGUCUAGUCUGUGUAUAAAUCCAGCGUCUCCAGUCAUAUUAUUAAUUCCUCAGAGACAACGAUUCUGAUCAAAACUUUCCUUAAAACCUUAUUGCCUCAGCACCUGGAUAGACACAUGUAACCUAAACAAUUCCUCCCAGUUGAAUCAAAAGAAAGAUUUGGGAAAGCUACAUCAUUUCUGGAGCCUGGUACAAAUUAAAAAUGUGGGGCCCCUUAUCAAAAGAGCAGAGAAAAAAAAAGAGUGACA
RNAcentral lists this long non-coding RNA (2008 nucleotides) under Homo sapiens (human). Its description in RNAcentral is "HSALNT0331894". Lineage: Eukaryota; Metazoa; Chordata; Mammalia; Primates; Hominidae. The record is from RNAcentral.